This 465-nucleotide ribosomal RNA is filed under the name uncultured bacterium. RNAcentral's name for it is "partial 16S ribosomal RNA". It matches the Rfam family "Bacterial small subunit ribosomal RNA", at positions 28 to 507 of the family's 1533-position model. The record is from RNAcentral.
GACGAACGCUGGCGGCGUGCUUAACACAUGCAAGUCGAACGGAAAGGCCCUGCUUGUAGGGUAUUCGAGUGGCGAACGGGUGUGUAACACGUGGGUGAUCUGCCCUGUACUUUGGGAUAAGCCUGGGAAACUGGGUCUAAUACCGGAUAGGAGCCAUUUUUAGUCUGAUGGUUGGAAGGUUUUUUCGGUGUAGGAUGAGUUCGCGGCCUAUCAGCUUGCUGGUGGGGUAAUGGCCUACCAAGGCGGCGACGGGUAGCCGGCCUGGGAGGGUGGACGGCCACAUUUGGGCUGGAGUUCGGCCCAGACUCCUACGGGAGGCAACAGUGGGGAAUAUUGCACCAAGGGCGCAAGCCUGAUUCAGCGACGCCGCGUGGGGGAUGACGACCUUCGGGUUGUAAACUCCUUUCGCUAGGGACGAAGCUUUUUGUGACGGUACCUAGAUAAGAAGCACCGGCUAACUACGUG